Triticum dicoccoides is the source of this 777-nucleotide long non-coding RNA. RefSeq lists it as uncharacterized. The record is from RefSeq and is a predicted model, not a curated record. The transcript has 4 exons. Lineage: Eukaryota; Viridiplantae; Streptophyta; Magnoliopsida; Poales; Poaceae.
CAAACCCGGCCCGGCCUGGAGGAUGCCCAGGUUUAGCUGGGAACAAUCGCCGUCAGCCGCACGGCGAUACCGGGAGCCCCGUCGACUCCGGCGGCCGGAGGGCAACGCACGCGGGCCCGCACUCACGUCACGGCUCUCGCCACAGCUAAUCCGGCGAAGCUCUCCGCGGCCUAGGCCGCCAGAAGUUUACUAGGUGGCUGAUGGUCCAGGUUCAUGCCAAGGAAAUCCCAGCUUCUUGUGGUCAUCAAGUCAUGGUGCUGAUUUGGAGUAACGCUGAUAACUUCAGGUAAACGAUGUACAGCUACGCGUGGAGAGGGACAGAAAACACAACUUAGCAUCGAACAGAAUCAACACUAUGAGAUACAGUAAAAUGUAGGGUGAUGCAUCAGCCAUACCUUUUGAGACCCAUACCCUCUGCUUAUGCUUAUCAUAAGGCAUAAGCAGAGUAGGAGGUAAGCUGAAAAACGCCGAGGGGAAGAGUGGAAAUCCAUGUUGGUGUGGAAGCACAUGCUGAUAUGAUCCAACAACAGAAAGGAAGGUCAAAGAUACAGGCUCAGUUGGCAUGAAUCCAAUCUUUCGGCUAUCGACGCCAAUUUCCUCCCUGAAGUUUCCCUGGAACUAGCUCAGCUGAAACGCGUUGCGUUCCCCCCUGCUCCAGUAUUCUCCCAUUUCAAACCUGUAAUGUUGCACUUAUUUUCCCUCUCCUGAAGCAUGGUUUUUCAAUUUGUUCAUUCGCUUGUUAUGCAGAUAAAUAAAUAUAUCCUAUCAUCUUCCCUA